RNAcentral lists this ribosomal RNA (395 nucleotides) under uncultured bacterium. Its description in RNAcentral is "partial 16S ribosomal RNA". It matches the Rfam family "Bacterial small subunit ribosomal RNA", at positions 361 to 773 of the family's 1533-position model. The record is from RNAcentral.
AUUUUCCGCAAUGGGCGAAAGCCUGACGGAGCAACGCCGUGUGAGGGAAGAAGGUCUUCGGAUCGUAAACCUUUGUCAUCGAGGACGAUAAUGACGGUACUCGAGGAGGAAGCCCCGGCUAACUACGUGCCAGCAGCCGCGGUAACACGUAGGGGGCGAGCGUUGUCCGGAAUUACUGGGCGUAAAGGGCGCGUAGGCGGCCUAAUAAGUCAGAUGUGAAACCCCCGGGCUUAACCCUGGGCUUGCAUUUGAAACUGUUGGGCUUGAGGACAGGAGAGGAAAGCGGAAUUCCCAGUGUAGCGGUGGAAUGCGUAGAUAUUGGGAGGAACACCAGUGGCGAAGGCGACUACCUGGACGAAAACUGACGCUGAGGCACGAAAGCUAGGGGAGCAAAC